GACGAACGCUGGCGGCGUGCCUAACACAUGCAAGUCGAGCGGAGUCGAUCGACGGAAGCCUUCGGGCGGAAGAUGGUUGACUUAGCGGCGGAUGGGUGAGUAACGCGUGGGCAACCUGCCUCGAAGACCGGGAUAACAGACCGAAAGGGCUGCUAAUACCGGAUGUGGUCAAGGAUCCGCAUGGAUCUUUGAUUAAAGGGGAAACCCGUUUCGAGAUGGGCCCGCGUCCUAAUCAGCUAGUUGGUGAGGUAAAAGCUCACCAAGGCGACGACGGGUAGCCGGCCUGAGAGGGUGACCGGCCACACUGGAACUGAGACACGGUCCAGACUCCUACGGGGGGCAGCAGUGGGGAAUCUUCCACAAUGGGCGAAAGCCUGAUGGAGCGACGCCGCGUGAGCGAAGAAGGCCUCGGUUGUAAAGCUCUGUCUGAGGACGAAGGAAGUGACGGUACUCCGGACGGAAGCCACGGCUAACUACGUGCCAGCAGCCGCGGUAACACGAGAGUA
This 506-nucleotide ribosomal RNA is filed under the name uncultured bacterium. RNAcentral's name for it is "bacterial SSU rRNA". It matches the Rfam family "Bacterial small subunit ribosomal RNA", at positions 28 to 533 of the family's 1533-position model. The record is from RNAcentral.